UGGGGAAUUUUGGACAAUGGGGCAACCCUGAUCCAGCAAUGCCGCGUGUGUGAAGAAGGCCUUCGGGUUGUAAAGCACUUUUGUCCGGAAAGAAAACGCCGUGGUUAAUACCCGUGGCGGAUGACGGUACCGGAAGAAUAAGCACCGGCUAACUACGUGCCAGCAGCCGCGGUAAUACGUAGGGUGCAAGCGUUAAUCGGAAUUACUGGGCGUAAAGCGUGCGCAGGCGGUCCGCUAAGACAGAUGUGAAAUCCCCGGGCUUAACCUGGGAACUGCAUUUGUGACUGGCGGGCUAGAGUAUGGCAGAGGGGGGUAGAAUUCCACGUGUAGCAGUGAAAUGCGUAGAGAUGUGGAGGAAUACCGAUGGCGAAGGCAGCCCCCUGGGCCAAUACUGACGCUCAUGCACGAAAGCGUGAGGAGCAAACAGGAUUAGAUACCCUGGUAGUCCACGCCCUAAACGAUGUNAACUAGUUGUCGGGUCUUCAUUGACUUGGUAACGUAGCUAACGCGUGAAGUUGACCGCCUGGGGGAGUACCGGUCGCAAAGAUUAAAACUCAAAGGAAUUGACGGGGUCAUAGCUG
This 581-nucleotide ribosomal RNA is filed under the name uncultured bacterium. Its description in RNAcentral is "partial 16S ribosomal RNA". It matches the Rfam family "Bacterial small subunit ribosomal RNA", at positions 355 to 932 of the family's 1533-position model. The record is from RNAcentral.